AUGUUAUUUAGUUUGGGUGGAGACUACGGGAAAGAGGAGUGUUGUCUAGAACUGUGUCUAUGGCCACUCUUCCCGUUUGACCCUGGUGCCAAAUAUAGAAAUGGUGAUUUUGGUGCACCUAACUUGUUACUUGGUCUACAUGACAAGCAAAGUGUCACUCCUGGUGACUCCCAUAAACAAAUCCUUCGUACAUCUUUCAUUGAAUUUUUAAUAUUU
RNAcentral lists this long non-coding RNA (216 nucleotides) under Capsicum annuum. Its description in RNAcentral is "long non-coding RNA (CANN_LNC018116)". Lineage: Eukaryota; Viridiplantae; Streptophyta; Magnoliopsida; Solanales; Solanaceae. The record is from RNAcentral.